AUUCAGUCAUGCAUAGCAUAUCAAUAAGCGGAGGAAAAGAAACUAACAAGGAUUCCCUUAGUAACGGCGAGUGAAGCGGGAAGAGCUCAAAUUUGAAAUCUUCAAGGUUUUACCUUGACGAAUUGUAGUUUAAAGAAGUGUUUUCUGUUGAAGUUUUGGUAAAAGUUCUUUGGAAUAGGACAUCAUAGAGGGUGAGAAUCCCGUAUUUGACCAUCACUUUCAGCUUUGUGAUACACUUUCAAAGAGUCGGAUUGUUUGGGAAUGCAGUCCAAAAUGGGUGGUAAAUUUCAUCUAAAGCUAAAUAUUGGCGAGAGACCGAUAGCGAACAAGUACCGUGAGGGAAAGAUGAAAAGAACUUUGAAAAGAGAGUUAAACAGUACGUGAAAUUGUCAAAAGGGAAGCGUUUGACACCAGUAGUUGUUUUCUCGAAAAUCAAUUAAAAAGAGUUGGAUUUUGUGUUGUAUUGACUUUAUCAGCUUUCUUCACUCUUUUCCAGCUUUUUUUAAUGCACUUUUCGUUUAACAAGUCAACAUCAGUUUCUUUUGUUGUAAAAAGGUCAUUGGAAGGUGGCUUUCUCUUCGGAGAAAGUGUUUAUAGCCUUUGACUCAUGCAAUCGGAGAGACUGAGGUCUGCAGCGUAGAUCCUUCGGGGUUAGAUACAUUUGUGCUAAGUUAUAGCUUUUCAUAGACAACUUGUUGACUAUGUUUAGUCUUGUAGCUUACUCGCUUAUGCUAUUUUACCUACGCUUAGGAUGUUGAACUCUAUCACACACAG
This 774-nucleotide ribosomal RNA is filed under the name uncultured Neocallimastigales. RNAcentral's name for it is "partial large subunit ribosomal RNA". It matches the Rfam family "Eukaryotic large subunit ribosomal RNA", at positions 24 to 628 of the family's 3401-position model. Lineage: Eukaryota; Fungi; Neocallimastigomycota; Neocallimastigomycetes; Neocallimastigales. The record is from RNAcentral.